Molecule: non-coding RNA, 381 nt
Organism: Dermacentor albipictus
Lineage: Eukaryota; Metazoa; Arthropoda; Arachnida; Ixodida; Ixodidae
Source: RefSeq, a predicted model, not a curated record
CUGUGGAAGAGCGGCCGCACGACUCGCUGUGUGCGCGUGUGUAUUCGUAUGCGCGCGUGUGGAUCUGGUCGGGCCGCGGGAUUUAAUUGUGUGGGUGAUUCUAUGGAGUAUCUGCAGUUGAUGGAUUUAUGGCGUCGAGAAUCACGUUGCUGUGUUGUCUGCUAACGGUAGCGUCGUCGAGUUCCUGCGACAAAGGUGAGCCCUCUAUUUUUGUACGGCACGGCCGCACGGAGCCGCACUGGACUAGGUCUGGACUUCGCUGAACACGUCCAAGGCAUAUGUAUUGUCGUAUACGUAAGCGUGACUGAGCCCCCCCUCUGCCUUCAGGCUGUCGCUGGUCCGUUGGUUGAUCUAUGUAGACUGCUAUAAACUGGUCACUCA